UACAAAGGGGGCUAGCGUUGUUCGGAAUUACUGGGCGUAAAGCGUACGUAGGCGGAUUGUUAAGUGAGGGGUGAAAUCCCGAGGCUCAACCUCGGAACUGCCUUUCAUACUGGCAAUCUUGAGUCCGGGAGAGGUGAGUGGAACUCCUAGUGUAGAGGUGAAAUUCGUAGAUAUUAGGAAGAACACCAGUGGCGAAGGCGGCUCACUGGCCCGGAACUGACGCUGAGGUACGAAAGCGUGGGGAGCAAACAGG
This 253-nucleotide ribosomal RNA is filed under the name uncultured bacterium. RNAcentral's name for it is "partial 16S ribosomal RNA". It matches the Rfam family "Bacterial small subunit ribosomal RNA", at positions 524 to 776 of the family's 1533-position model. The record is from RNAcentral.